CCUUAAGUUAUGACUUACAGCAUAGUGUAGACUUUAGUGCAAUGUCUGUCUCACCAUGGCUUAACCAACUAGAACUGUUUCAAGCAGCUUUUUGAAUAAGAAAAAGCCUUAAUCUUGUGCUUUUAAAAAUAAAUUACACUGUAGGCAGGAGUGUACUGUCUGUCUAACCAUAACUUAUUCUAACAUACAUUUUAGCCUUUGAAAACUGCGCACCAUGGAUUUGUAUGGGCUUGAUGAACUUAUUUAGCAAAAUAAAAUCUUAGAAUCAUUUUCCCUUAUGCAUUUAAACAUUGAAAACAUACCUGUUUGUCUGCUUGGGCUGUUAUAACAAAACAACGUAGAUAGUUUGGCUUAAGCAGAAAUUUAUUUCCUCACAAUUCUGGAGGCUGAAAGUCAAGAGACCAGAGUGCCGAUUUGGUCAGAUUCUGGUCAAGACCCUCUUCCAGCUUGCAGACUGACAACUUCUUGCUCUCUCCUCACAUGGUGGAAGGGGCGCGGGAGCUCUGUGGGGUCUCUUUUAUAAGAGCACUAAUUCCAUUAUGAGGAUUCUACCUUCAUGGCCUAAGUACCUCUCAAAGGCCCCACCUCCCGCAUUGGGCAUUAAGAUUUCAACAUACAAAUUUUGGGAAGACACAACAUUCAGACCAUAGCAAGUCCAUAGUACCACCUCUAGACAAUACACGAUGCUUUUACCAGGAAAAGUGUUUUGAGUGUGUGUACACAUGUAUAGGAAGAAAAUUAGAAUUACGUAUGAGAAGCUGUUUAAUGGAGAUACUUGCUUGGGAUAUUAGUUUCCUUCUUUCCCGUUGAAGCCAUAAAAGUUGGAGAAGGUGUAGUCAUACUUGGGCUAGUAAUCAUAGAAUAAUUACAAAUCUUAUCAAGUGCUUAUAAUGUCAAGGUGCUUUACAUAGAGAUCCCAUUCAGUUCUCACAAUUUUCUUAUAAGGUACAGUAUUUACUUUCAUUUAAUAGAUGAGGGAAGUGGAAUUGAAGAGGUAGAAUAAUUUCACUGGGGUUGCAAAGCUCUAGUCAACAACAGAAUCUAGAUUUGAACUCAGGCCGCCUGACUCCAGAAUCUAUAUGCUUGCCCAAAACCAUCCACUUAGUUUUAUACAUAUGAGACCUUUGUUUUUCUCUGUGUAUGUUAAAGUUUAAAGUAUUAGGUUAAAAGUUUUGGUUAUUUUAUUCCAUUUAAAAUAAAACAUUGGUUAAGAGGAGCUCUAAUUUUAAAUAAGUUACAUAUAAAUAUAAUUCAAUUUUGAAUUUUUACCAUGGGCCAUAUAUCUGUUAGUGGUAGAAAGAAAUAAGAAGGCUAAGAUAAUCAACAAAUAAGUCAGUCUGAAACUGCUUUAGUUGAACACUUAAUAUGUUUGCUACUGCUUUUGUUUUCAUUUCUGAGUAAUUUUGAUUUAAGUAUAAUGAAACUUGUGAUUGAAGCUUCUAACAUUUAUACAUCGCUUAGUAAUUUUUACAUAAUGUGAAUAGUGUAAACUGGGAAGAAUCUCUUCUCUCUUGCAAGAAAUCAUUGCCAGUUAAAUAGCUGUGAUUUGGCCUAUUUUCAGGCCACAUUCUCAAACCAAAAGUUUUCACCAUCAGUUUUGGUUUGUGGAAUAAAGAUAAACUUAAGUAACUUGUCAAGUUUGUUGUAUGAAUUACACAUGUUUAGUUUUUAUUAAAUAAUAAACCAUAAAUUAUGAUUGACAUUUUUCAGAUUUUUGUUUUUUUAAAUUUAUUUUUCAGUUACAGUUGACAUAUUAAUUUCAGUGAUUAGAUAUUUAUAUACUUUAUGAAGUGAUCACCCCAAUUAAUCUAAUACCUAUCUGACAUCAUACAUCAGAUUUGUAUUCUUUAAUUAGCAUCAGUAGGGGAAUAAUUUUCUUAUAAAUUCUUAUCAAAAUCUUUGUUUACAUAUCAUUGUGUUAAAUCAGGAAGAAAAUUGGUUUUCCAUGGUGUACGUUUGUAUUUUUAAGCCUUUGAGAACAUUAUUUUGUGACCUAUUUUGUAUACUUGUACUUUUUAAAAAUUUUCAUAGCCUAGAGCAUGUGGUUUGCUGCUUUUUAGCUUUCAAAGCUUUAGCUCUGUUUAACAGUGUUGUAAGACAAAAAAUUUUUGUAAGUUUCUAAUCAUUAUUCACUGACUCGCAGCAACUUGUAUUUGGAAUACUGUAUAAAAAGAAAACAAAAGAAUAUUUACAAAAAACAUAAGACCUAGUAUCUAUACCUGAAAUGAUCAAUUCUCUAUCUAGAGGAAUUCAUUAUACUAUAUAUCAGAUUCAUUAUACUGUACAGUUUAUUAUUUUUAUUAAUCUAACAGCAAAUUGUAGCAAUGACUAAAGCAUGGAUGUUUCUUGGUGACGGUAUCUGCUGACAAAUGGGGAUCAAAAUAAGAAGGAAUGGGCUAGAGGAUAGAAAUUAGCAUCAUUUGUUAGGAGAUAUUGUCAGUAAACCAAAUAACUCAUGAUAUAUGUACAGCUAGACAAACUCUUAAAAAGUCAUUAGAAGGUAUAAGCACCCACAAGACAAGUUUAUAUAUGUGCUGUUAUAAAUUGUGAAUUAAAUGUUUAAAAAUUUUUUGACAAGUAUCAAGAAUGUGCUUUUUUGAGCAUUGAGUCUAUUACAUACUCUGUCUAGUUAUGCUAUGCAGUAGUCCCACCUUAUCCACAGGGGUCACAUUUCAGGACCCCUUGGGGGAUGGAUGCCUGAAACCAUGAAUACUGAACCCUGUCUGUACUAUGUUUCCUCCUAUACUUACAUACCUAUGAUAAAGUUUAAUUUAUAAAUUAGGCACAAUAAGAGAUUAACAACAAUAACUGCUAAUGAAAUAGAAUAAUUAUAAUAAUAUACUAAAAUAAAAGUUAUGUGGAUAUCUUUUUGUACUGUACUCAUGCUUCUUCUUGUGAUGAUAUAAGAUGAUACAAUGUCUACAUGAUGAGAUGAAGCGAGUUGAAUGAUGUAGGUAUUAUGACGUAGCAUUAGGCUACUAUUGACCUGAUGAUUCUUAACAAGCACUUUAUGGCUUCUCUAUGGCAUAUCCGAAUUGCCAGCAUCACUACUCUUGUGCGUUGGGGCCGUUAUUAAGUAAAGUAAGCAUUAUUUGAACAUAAACACUGUGAUAUCUCGACAAUUGCUCUCAUAACUUGAGAAGGCUACUAAAUGACUAAUGGGUGGGUGAGUGGUGUCCAUAGAGUGGAUACACCGAACAAAGGGAUGAGUCACAUCCUGGAUGACAUGAGAUUUUAUCACACUACUCAGAAUGGCUUGAAAUUUAAAGCUUAUGAAUUGUUUAUGGAAUUUUUCAUUUAAUAUGUUGAGAACGUGGUUGACCACACUUGAUCAAAACUGCAAAAAGUGAAAUUGUUGCUAAGGAGGACUACUAUAUUUUAUUGAAUCGACUCUUAUCUAGAACAUAUCUGAUGUAUUCACUGAUUCCCUUUUUAAAACAUGUUUAAAUAACUUUGAGGAGCUACAGUCGUCCCUUAGUAUAUGCAGGGGAUUGGUUCCAGGACACCACUUGGAUACCAAAAUUUGGGGGUGCUCAAGACACUUAUAUAAACUUCUACACAUUCUCCUGUAUACUUUAAAUCAUGUUUAGAUUAUUUAAACCUAGGACAAUGUAAAUGCCAUAUAAGUAGUUGUUAUCUGUAUUGUUUAGGGAAUAAUGGAAAGAAAAAAGUCUACAUGUUCAGUAUAGAUGCAAUCAUCGUAUGCCUAACUACUACAUCGUAUGCCUAAGUACAUCUUAGCAACAAUGUAACAUUUUUUCUGAUUCUUUUCCAUUUGCUGUUGGUUGAAUUUGUGAAAUGAAACCCUCGGAUAUGGAGAGCUGAAUGUACUUGGAGAGCUUUAUUGAGAUGCAAUUCAAACACAAUAAAAUUCAUCCUUUGAAAGUCUACAGUUCAGUGAUUUUUAGUACACUGACAGUGUUGUACAACCAUUAUCACUGUCUAGUUCCAGAACUAACCCCACCCACCAAAAAAGGGAAACGUCAUACCCAUUCAGAAAACCUCCCAAUUUUCUCUUCCCCCAGUCCUUAGAAUCUAGUACUCUGCUGUCUGUCUUUAUAAAUUUGCAUAUGCUGGAUAAUUCAUAUAAAUGGAUUCAGAUAAUAUUGUGGCUUUUUGAUAUGGCUUCUAUCAUAUAACACAAUGUUUUUAAGAUUUAUCCAUAUUGUAGCAUGCCUGGAUAUGACACAUUUUGUUUAAUAAUCAGUUGUUUCCACUUUCUGGCCGAUGUGAAUUAUAUUAGAAUAUAUAAUAUAAUAUGCUAUGUACAAUCUGUGUGUAAGUUUUUGUGUGAUUCCUUUUCAUUCUUAGUACUCAGAAAUUUUUCAUAUUGCUUAGUAGUAGAUUUUUCUGAAAAAAAAAAAAAAAAAAACCAAAAAUGGAUGUUUAUGUCAAAUAUUUAUUGAAUAGU
Long non-coding RNA from Pteropus alecto (black flying fox), 4411 nucleotides. RefSeq lists it as uncharacterized. Lineage: Eukaryota; Metazoa; Chordata; Mammalia; Chiroptera; Pteropodidae. The record is from RefSeq and is a predicted model, not a curated record. The transcript is spliced from 2 exons.